CUUGGCUACGACGGCCAUCAUUGCUCAAACAAGAUUGUUAUCUACAAAUUUUUCUUUUUAUUGCGAGAUUAUUAUCUACAACUUUUGUGAUCUCAACUCCAUUAAAUUUCACAGAAAAUGAUAAAAAAAGGAAGAAAAGACAAAAAAAAAAAAAAAAUAUUCUACCAAUAAAAAAGAUCACUGCAAGGUGCCUUCAUUCCGGUUGCGUUUCCCACUCUCCCUCGACCACUGCGACUCGAGAUCGAGAGCAUGGAGGAGUCAGAAUCUGGUGAUAGCAUGACCAUUCAACGGCGCGUGGGGUUACUGUACGAUGAGCGGAUGUGUAAGCAUCACACUCCUGAUGAUGAUUAUCAUCCUGAGAAUCCCAACCGCAUCAAGACCAUUUGGAACAAGCUCGUUGCCAAUAACAUUCCUCAAAGAUGUGUUGUUUUGAAUGCCAAAGAAGCAGAAGAUAAAUAUCUACUAGCUGUUCACUCCAAGAAUCAUGUUAAUUUGAUUAGAAAUAUAAGCUCCAAAAAAUUUGAUUCUCGAAGAAAUAGAAUUGCUGCAAAAUUGAAUUCCAUAUAUUUUAAUGAAGGAUCAUCAGAAGCUGCCUACAUUGCUGCUGGUUCUGUCAUAGAGGCAUUGUGCGUAGGCUACUUUAUGGAUACUUGCGCUUAAUUUUUAGUAUUCUGUCCUAUUUUUAGAUGAUCUACCUAUAUCUUAAUGCCAUUACUUCAGGGAUUUUGUUGACAUUAUUUUCAACUGUGAUACGUUAGCUGUAAGACAUUUAAUUUAAUGAGAAAAUAUAAGUGGACUUGAUGGGUUUUGAUGCCUUUAAAUUUCAAAGCUUUCUUGGUUGAUGGGUAUCAUGUGGAAAUCUUGGUGAAUUUACUUCUCAUUUUUUUUUUCCAUCAAAUUUUCAAAUCAAUUAUCAACAGGAUUGUUUAUAAAUGAUGCGGGUUUUACUGGAUAAAGUCAAGGAGUACAAUUACUAUAGUAGAUCUAUCACAAUUAUUUUAGUAAAAAUUUUGUUUCACAUUUACAAAUCUAAUCAUACAUGUGUUUUCAACUAGGUCGCUGAGAGAGUAGCCAAAGGGGAAUUACAUUCUGCUGCUGCUAUUGUUAGGCCUCCUGGGCAUCAUGCUGAACAUGAUGAGGCAAUGGGAUUUUGUCUAUUCAAUAACGUGGCUGUUGCAACGAGUUUUCUAUUAGAUGAAAGACCAGAACUGGGUAUUAAGAAGAUUCUGAUUGUUGACUGGGAUGUUCAUCAUGGUAAUGGUACUCAAAAGAUGUUUUGGAAGGACCCUCGUGUUCUGUUCUUCUCUGUUCACAGGCAUGAGUUUGGGAGCUUUUACCCUGCUAAUGAUGAUGGUUUUUAUACUAUGAUUGGGCAAGGGCUGGGUGCAGGAUACAACAUAAAUGUUCCUUGGGAGCAUGGAAGAUGCGGAGAUGCAGACUAUCUUGCUGUUUGGGACCAUAUAUUGAUACCUGUUGCUAAGGACUUUGAUCCUGACAUGAUUAUAGUGUCUGCAGGGUUUGAUGCAGGUUUGAUGCUCCCUGUUUAUGGAGGUUUAUGACUGUGUCCUAGAUGUUUCGUUUCUGCUCUGUAUGCAUUUCAUUGGACACAGUAGCCUUGUCAAGCAUGUGGUCUUGCAAAUAUAUUUAAUGCACAAAUAUACAUAUUCCUAGUUUUACUUUUUUACUUUCACCUCAAUAUGCAUUUUGGAGCCACUUGCGUUGAAUCAUGAUGAUAUAAAAAGAAUUCGAACAAGCUACUUCAACGCAAUAGGGCUUCUAUUACAAGCAGUUGGGAAAGAAAUGAUUUCAUUGAGAAUUUUCACACCAACUCUAUUAUUCAUUUGAAAAAAGAAGGAUUAAUAGUGUUGAUACAUAUGUAACUCAUAUCAUAACUCAUUUUAGGAGUUCGUUCAAAAAUUUAGUCAUCCCAAAUGAGCAAUUAAUCCCAGAUAGUGUCUGAACAUGAAGAUUGCAGAAACAGUGAACUAGUGGGAAAAGGAGAGGAAAUUUAUCUUUUUAUUUAUGGGCUUGGAUCUAACUUGUUACUCUUUCCAAAUAUUCUGGACUUAAUGGACAACACAAAAGUAAGCUAAAACGUGUGCCUGAAAACAAUAACAAUAACAAUAACAAUUAUGUUUUGAAGAUGCUUUAAAUAACAAUAUCUCUUGAAAAUAGCCAGUUCCACAAGGCAACACAUUGCAGGAUACAUUGGGUGCCUCUAUCUGCAUGUGACAUGCUAAUCUUGUAAUUUACACUAUUUGUUAAGAAAUGUUGCAUUUUACAAUUUACAUUCGUUUCUACUAGAGUAAAUUUUCCUGUUAUAAUUCUUGUAACAGCUGUUGGUGAUCCUCUUGGUGGUUGUCGUGUUACGCCAUAUGGAUAUUCAGUAUUGUUGAAAAAGGUUAGCAUUCUAUUUAAUCGUAUUUUUGGUGGUAUUUUCAUAAUGUUGUCACCUUAACUGUGAAACAGAGAGUUUGUUAGUUUGCUUGUACUAGGAACAUACAGGUGUUAUCUUGCAUGAAAGGCUUAAUCUGAAAUUUCCUACUUUGUUGUUUGAUCUCUUUUUUCUUGAGUUCCCUUUUAAAGUUGGUUGGUGACUUUUGAUUUGUUUAGCACCUUUUACUUUGUAAUUCUUUCGAGAACUAUUAGCAGAGUGUUUCAUGUUUUUCAUAUUUCUUAUGUAUUCUUUUUUCCUCCCUUCCUUUCAGUUAAUGGAUUUUGCCCAUGGUAAGAUUGUGUUGGCAUUAGAAGGGGGUUACAAUCUUGACUCCGUAGCAAAUUCAUUCCUUGCUUGCAUGGAAGUUUUGCUUGAAAGCAAGCCUAUUGCUGGAUCUUCAGAGGCCUAUCCAUUUGAGUCCACUUGGCGUGUGAUACAAGCGGUUCGCAAGAAAUUAAGUGCUUACUGGCCUACACUUGCAGAUGAAAUACCCUUGAAGUUAACCAGUCACAAAGCCCCUCCUCCACAUCUUUUGAUUUCAAGCUCUGAUUCUGAAGAUGAGGUUGACAAAACUCCAAAUAUUGUGUCAGAUAAUAUGGUGGCAGUUGUUCAGGAGAUCACUGAACCUCUUUCAAAGCUGAAAGUCGAAGAUAGUCAUGAUCAAGCGGCCACAAAGUCUGUUCCCUGGAGAUCAGAGCUUUCAAAGAUAGACAUUUGGUAUGCUACUUUUGGAUCAAAUAUGUUGAAACGAAGGUUCCUUUGCUAUAUUCAAGGUGGUCAGGUGGAUGGUAUGGGGAAGCGAUGCUCUGGUUCAAUGGAUAAAAACCCUCCAAAAGAGAUUUUGUGGAAAACUUUCUCCCACAGAUUGUUCUUUGGCCAUGAAUCCACACGUACAUGGGGAAGUGGAGGGGUUGCUUUCCUUCAUCCUGAAAGUAGUGUUGAUGAAAACACUUACAUGUGCAUGUACCAAAUAACGCUGGAACAAUUCAAUGAUGUUUUGUUUCAAGAAAAUGUUUCAAGUAAUGAGAUGGAUUCUCCAGCGUUUGAUUUGGCAGAUCUACAGUCCGUCACAAACCAAGGUUCUGUUUCUUUGGAGGUUUUUAAGAAGGGGUGGUACCAUAAUGUAGUGUACUUGGGAAAGGAGAAAGAUAUUCCUAUACUGACUAUUACCUGCUCACUUUCAGAUGUUGAGAGCUUCAAAUCGAAGAAACUUCCCUUGUGUGCCCCUUGCAACGAAUAUGCCAACACCUUAAUACAAGGCCUGGUGGAAGGAGGACAGCUUUCAGAAGAGGAAGCCAGUGCCUAUAUAAAAGCUGCUUCUAAACCACUAUGAUUGCACAUAUCUGGCUUUCACAUUCUUCUCGUGAAUGUUCCUAAUAGCUUUGGUUGUACAUUCAGAGAUCUUCAGGAAUCGAGGAACCAUGAUGCUGUGGCAAUUUGAUUCAUCGCGUAUCACUUUCUAGUUAGGGUAGUACUGAGGGUGCAGCAAUGAAUUCAAAUGUAAACUGUUAAACCACAACGUAAGACUACUCAUCUACUGUCUUUAUCGCGCAGUUUUCAAAAGAAAAUAUAGCUAAAAUCUGUGAUCAAG
This 4028-nucleotide unclassified non-coding RNA is filed under the name Hevea brasiliensis (rubber tree). Lineage: Eukaryota; Viridiplantae; Streptophyta; Magnoliopsida; Malpighiales; Euphorbiaceae. The record is from RNAcentral.